GGGGAAAAAUUAAUUAGUUAUAUAAAUAAUAAAAAAAUUUUUAAAUAAAAAUAUAUAAUGGGGGUUAAAGUAUUUUUAUAGAAAAAAUUAAAUAAUUUAUAGGAAAUUAGUAUUGUGAAAGAAAUUUGAAAUAAAUGAAAUAAAAAAUAAAUUUAAAGUAAUUUUAAUUUGGUGUAUCUUGGGUAUCAGAGUUUAUUAAAAAAUAUUUUUAAAAAAAAAAUUCUCGAAUUUAAAAGAGAUAAUUAAUUAAUAAAGUUAUUGUGGCAUAAAUAUUUAAAAUAAUUAAUUUGAAAUGAAAUGUUAAUCGUUUUUAAAUAUAUCUAGUUAUUUUAGAAAAAAAUUUAAUUUUAUAUUAUUUUAUAAAAAAAUUAAUUAAUUAAUUUUUUUAUAAAAUAAUUUUAUAUUUUAAGGGAUAAGCUUUAAUUUAAAUUUAUAUAAAUGAUUAAUUAAAUUUAAUUGAAAUUUAUAUGAUUUAUAUUGUUAAAAAAAUUUAAUUUAUUAUAAAUAAUUUCAUUUAAAAUAAGAUUUAAUAUAAAAUUUUAUUUAUUUAUAAAAUAAAAUUUUAAAAUAAAAAAAAAAUUGAUAUAAUGAUAAAAUUAGUAUAUAAAAUUAAUUAAAAAAUAUUUUUAGGAAAAUUAAUUUAAAGGAAUUCGGCAAAAAUUUAUAUUCACUUGUUUAUCAAAAACAUGUCUUUUUGAAAAUAAUAUAAAGUCUAAUCUGCCCACUGAUUUUAUAUUAAAGGGCUGCAGUAUAUUGACUGUACAAAGGUAGCAUAAUCAUUAGUCAUUUAAUUGAUGACUUGUAUGAAAGAUUGGAUGAAAUAUAGACUGUCUCUUAAUUAAAUAUAGAAUUUAAUUUUUUAAUUAAAAAGUUAAAAUAAAUUAAAAAGACGAGAAGACCCUAUAGAGUUUUAUAAAUAAUUUAAUUAAGAUUAUUUAUAAAAAAUAUUAAAAUUAAUUUAUUUAUUUUGUUGGGGUGACAGAAAAAUAAAUAAAACUUUUUUUUUAGAAAAACAUAUAUAAAUGAUUAAAUGAUCCAAUAUUAUUGAUUAAAAGAAAAAAUUACCUUAGGGAUAACAGCGUAAUUUUUUUUUUUAGUUCAAAUAAGAAAAAGAGUUUGCGACCUCGAUGUUGGAUUAAGAUAAAAUUUAAAUGCAGAAGUUUAAAAUUUUUGAUCUGUUCGAUCAUUAAAAUCUUACAUGAUCUGAGUUCAAACCGGUGUAAGCCAGGUUGGUUUCUAUCUUUUAAUAGUUAAAAUAUUUUAGUACGAAAGGAUUAAAUAUUAAAAUUAAAUUUAUUUUAUUGAAUUUUAUUAAAUUAUAUUUAUAAAUAUUUUAUAUUAUAAUAAUUUAAAUAA
RNAcentral lists this ribosomal RNA (1356 nucleotides) under Anaplectoides virens. Its description in RNAcentral is "16S ribosomal RNA". Lineage: Eukaryota; Metazoa; Arthropoda; Insecta; Lepidoptera; Noctuidae. The record is from RNAcentral.